GUACAAGAGCAAUGUAUCUAAAUUAUCAAACCCACCAAUGAAUCAAAAUGGGGUGUUGAAAAAUCAAUGAAAUACCAUAACUUUAGUUGAACUAAGUAGUGGAUAAUAGAUGGAAAAAUAGAUAGGUAACUUAGGAGGAGCUGUGUUCCUUUUUUGCGUCUAAAUUAUCAACAUGAUCCACAAGUGCUUUGGUUAGAAACUGAUCCGUAAAAUUACAUCUCUUAAUUAUUUAAUGGCUAGAUUUAUUUCAGUGUUGUUAAAGUUUAUUAGACAUAAUAGUUUAUCGUCUUUGUUAAUAAUACUUCUAAUUGCUGCCAUCUUACACAGUUACGCAUCAACAGGUGCUACUGGAAAGCUAUACGUUUUGGGGGUAAUAUAUGAAUUGGAGAUAGAAGGAUUAGAAAAAGUAACAUUUUUGUAGUAGCUCUAUAGUCUUCUAUUUAUUUGUUAGUCUCAUGGACUGUUUGUUGAAGAAUGAACAACGCCUUGGCAUCUUUCUUCUUGAUUUCUUUCAGAUUCUCCUCCUCCUCUUCAUUGGGUUCAAAUAUUUCUAUGAACCCAUACUCCACCAAGUCUCAUAGCUCCUGCAUUUUGAACAAUGUCUUCACCUUGAUGCUCCACCACUCAUACUUCUCACCAUUAAAUUUGAGCAAUUCAUCUUUGCUGCAGCUGAUGUAGAACCUGUGAGUGGAUUUUCAAAUUCUCAAAAGCCUUCCAAAAAAAAAAGUCUUGUAAGGUACGUGCAAUCUCAAAUAAGAGCAAGAAAAAAGAUACAUCAUCUGAAUCUGAAGAUAGCAAGGUAAAUAGUAACGAGGAGAGUGACGACUAUGAAGAACAAUAUAGCGAAUAACUAGGUCUUCCAGCAAAGGUCAAGGAAAAGAUGCUGCGAAAGCUACAGCAACUAAAAAGGGCAAGGGCCAUGGAAUUGACCUCCAUCGGCAGAUAAAAGCCCCCAUUGAAGGGAAAAUAUCGACUUUGGUCCUUUGGCAUGCAACUAUUUCCAUUCAAUUGGGAACUACCAGUGACGCCUGUCAACGACAGUUCUGCUAUAUCUUCAGCUAACGACAACCAAAAAUAUAAGUGACAAAGCGAAAACUUGCUAUAUCUUCAGCUAGCAAACAGCCAAAAAUAUAAGUGCCAAAGCGAAAACUGGAGUAUUGCCUGCUUUGUCGGCGAAUUCAAUUGUAAAUUGUAGUGUUGGUCUUGACAGAUAGAAUCAUGAGUCCUCACAACAUAUGACAUUAGCGGCGAAUUCAUUUGUACAUUGUAGUGUUGGACUUGACAGAUACAAUCAUGAUUCCUCACAACAUAUAACAUUAGCGGCGUGUUAUGGUAUAAAUUGCGCACAUACUAAUGAUUUUGAUA
Nicotiana tabacum (common tobacco) is the source of this 1365-nucleotide non-coding RNA. NCBI's taxonomy places the organism in Eukaryota, Viridiplantae, Streptophyta, Magnoliopsida, Solanales, Solanaceae. The record is from RefSeq and is a predicted model, not a curated record.